CACUACCUUGGACCCCUGUUCUCCCUGGUGAAUUUCCAUAGAGCCCCUUCACAAGAGCUGCAAAGGAAGAAAAGGGAAAUUGCAAACUGUUUUCUGUGCACAAACUCAAGAGGCAACAAGUGCAAGUCUUCAUUCAAAUGUGUUCUCCUUUUUUAUGUUUAAAAUACAAUAUUAUACUUAUCUACUCAGAAGCAAGUCCCAGGGAGUUCAACAGGACUUACUUUCAGCCAACUACUGCCUGUCUACUCCAAGUCCAUCAGAACUGGCACCGCAGCACCACACACCGCUGGUAGAGAUAACAGAUUCUAAUUAUGCCAUACUGAAGCAUAUCUCUGCGGAGGUGGCCUUCCAGUUUCCAGAUUUUAAUAAGCUUAAUA
This is a long non-coding RNA of Rhineura floridana, 377 nucleotides long. RefSeq lists it as uncharacterized. The record is from RefSeq and is a predicted model, not a curated record. Lineage: Eukaryota; Metazoa; Chordata; Lepidosauria; Squamata; Rhineuridae. The transcript has 4 exons.